GGCGGAGGGAUCAUUGCUGGAACGCGCCUCGGCGCACCCAGAAACCCUUUGUGAACUUAUACCCACUGUUGCCUCGGCGCAGGCCGGUCUGUCUCAGACCCCCUGGAGACAGGGAGCAGCCCGCCGGCGGCCAACCAAACUCUGUUUCUAUAGUGAAUCUCUGAGUAAAAAACAUAAAUGAAUCAAAACUUUCAACAACGGAUCUCUUGGUUCUGGCAUCGAUGAAGAACGCAGCGAAAUGCGAU
RNAcentral lists this unclassified non-coding RNA (245 nucleotides) under Diaporthe melonis var. brevistylospora. RNAcentral describes it as "partial ITS1". The stretch from base 187 to 245 matches the Rfam family "5.8S ribosomal RNA", at positions 1 to 59 of the family's 154-position model. The record is from RNAcentral. Lineage: Eukaryota; Fungi; Ascomycota; Sordariomycetes; Diaporthales; Diaporthaceae.